RNAcentral lists this ribosomal RNA (500 nucleotides) under Pristimantis taeniatus (banded robber frog). Its description in RNAcentral is "partial 16S ribosomal RNA". It matches the Rfam family "Bacterial large subunit ribosomal RNA", at positions 1836 to 2597 of the family's 2925-position model. The record is from RNAcentral. Lineage: Eukaryota; Metazoa; Chordata; Amphibia; Anura; Strabomantidae.
CGCCUCUUGAUAAGAGGUCCAGCCUGCCCAGUGACGUUCAACGGCCGCGGUAUCCUAACCGUGCGAAGGUAGCGUAAUCACUUGUUUUCUAAAUAAAGACCAGUAUGAAAGGCAUCACGAGGGUUAAGCUGUCUCCUUUUUCUAAUCAGUGAAUCUAAUCUCCCCGUGAAGAAGCGAGGAUAAAACUAUAAGACGAGAAGACCCUGUGAAGCUUAAGACUUUAUAAUACCUGCAUUUUAAUUAUGCGUCUUUGGUUGGGGUGACCGCGGAGAAAAACUAACCCUCCGUAAUGAAAAGCAAUAAGUUACAACUUUAAGCAUCAAAAAACUGACAUGUUGACCCAAUAAAUUGAUUAAUGAACCAAGUUACCCCAGGGAUAACAGCACAAUCCGCUUUGAGAGCUCAUAUCGACAAGCGGGCUUAUGACCUCGAUGUUGGAUCGGGAUAUCCUAGUGGUGCAGCCGCUACUAAGGGUUCGUUUGUUCAACGAUUAAAACCCC